GAUGAAGAACGUAGCGAAAUGCGAUAAGUAGUGUGAAUUGCAGAAUUCAGUGAAUCAUCGAAUCUUUGAACGCACAUUGCGCCCCUUGGUAUUCCAUGGGGCAUGCCUGUUCGAGCGUCAUUUGUACCCUCAAGCUUUGCUUGGUGUUGGGUGUUUGUCCCGCGUUGCGCGUGGACUCGCCUUAAAGCGAUUGGCAGCCGGCAUAUUGGCCUUGGAGCGCAGCACAUUUUGCGCUUCUAGUCAUGAAUGUUGGCGUCCAUUAAGCCUAUACAUUUUCUCUUGACCUCGGAUCAGGUAGGGAUACCCGCUGAACUUAAGCAUAUCAAUAAGCGGAGGA
This 337-nucleotide unclassified non-coding RNA is filed under the name soil metagenome. RNAcentral's name for it is "partial contains 5.8S ribosomal RNA, internal transcribed spacer 2, and large subunit ribosomal RNA". The stretch from base 1 to 120 matches the Rfam family "5.8S ribosomal RNA", at positions 35 to 154 of the family's 154-position model. The record is from RNAcentral.